AAUGAAAUGCCUGAAAAAAGGAUUAUUUUGAUAGGAUAAAUCAUGAAAAUUACAUAUUUUCUUUCAUUA
RNAcentral lists this transfer RNA (69 nucleotides) under Janus sp. 1 GYN-2022e. RNAcentral describes it as "tRNA-Ile". Lineage: Eukaryota; Metazoa; Arthropoda; Insecta; Hymenoptera; Cephidae. The record is from RNAcentral.